Molecule: ribosomal RNA, 274 nt
Filed under: uncultured Pseudomonas sp.
Lineage: Bacteria; Pseudomonadati; Pseudomonadota; Gammaproteobacteria; Pseudomonadales; Pseudomonadaceae
Description: partial 16S ribosomal RNA
Rfam family: Bacterial small subunit ribosomal RNA
Source: RNAcentral
GUCCUUAGUUACCAGCACGUUAUGUGGGCACUCUAAGGAGACUGCCGGUGACAACCGGAGGAAGGUGGGGAGUGACGUCAAGUCAUCAUGGCCCUUACGGCCUGGGCUACACACGUGCUACAAUGGUCGGUCAAAGGGUUGCCAAGCCGCGAGGUGGAGCUAAUCCCAUAAAACCGAUCGUAGUCCGGAUCGCAGUCUGCAACUCGACUGCGUGAAGUCGGAAUCGCUAGUAAUCGUGAAUCAGAAUGUCACGGUGAAUACGUUCCCGGGCCUU